Molecule: long non-coding RNA, 41513 nt
Filed under: Arabidopsis lyrata
Lineage: Eukaryota; Viridiplantae; Streptophyta; Magnoliopsida; Brassicales; Brassicaceae
Description: long non-coding RNA (ALYR_LNC001460)
Source: RNAcentral
UAUGCAUAGCUGGUAUCGUUCAAGCACAUUGGAAACCGGACGGAACCUUUCUGUUACAAACGUUGAGAAGAACGCUGAGAGAUAUUGGAACGUUAAGGUUGAUGCCAAGAACGUUAGCCCUAAGAGCAGUGCAGAGACAAAUCGCAGCGUCGAGGUCAACCAAACCUUGGAUAAGCGAGCAACAUGGUUGAGCUGAUGGCUGACCCAACUGGAUGUUAAGUAGACUGCUUAGGACAUUUGCACAUACACCGAGCUUGAGAGCAUCUAUAGGGCAGUUUCCAGAUGAACCAGGGGUGCUUGGAGGUGUGACCGGCCUAGGAUUAGGACUUGGGACUGAUGGAGUUGGGACCGAAGGACGAACUGGAGGAGGACAUGGGACCGGCUUGGGUUUAGGACUUGGGACUGGCUUGGGUUUAGGACUUGGCUUGCAGUUGCAAUUAGUUGCAACGGUUAAGGUGAAAAAGAGGAUGUUGAGAGCAAAGAAAAGAGCAAGAGAGGCUGAGUUCUUUGAAGCCAUUCUUGUUUUCUCAAAGAUAUAUUCGGUGUUUUGAUGGUUAUUGAAUGAAUAUAAAUGAAGAGAAGGUGUAGGUAUUUAUAGGGGUUUAGGAGGAUGUCAAGAGGACCAACUUGAUUUCGUAUACUUAAUUAUUAAUUUAUAGAUAUUUGUAAUUAUUUGCGCUUAUCUAUAUAUAUAUAAAAAAUUUGACCAUUUUUUCCCUAUAUGCAUGUACCUACGUAGAACCAUGAAACUUUUUUUGGAAAAUCUUUUUUGUAAAGCAUUUUAUAUUUAAGAAAAUAUUUGAUUCAUUGCAUUCAUAUAAGUAUUAAUGUCAAUGCUGUUAUUAUCACCACCAUCAUGAGGUCGUGGAUGACCCCAGUGCUGCAGUGCAAAAGUUAUUUAGAUUUCUUUUGCAUUGGCUCGUAGCCAUUUUACUUGACGGCUUCUAUACGUCAGGUUGGGUAAUAAAUUUCCAGUGUAGUUAUAGUCUAUGUAUUUAUAUCAAGCUGAUCCCGGCCAUGGGAGACACACCCAAAUAUCUCGACACACACUCGAAAAAAUUGUUAUAUUUGAAUAUUUUUGAAUUUAAGAUACCCUAAUGCAUAAAAUAGGAAGACAUUAAAACCCUGCAUGAUUCGGGGUUUGUCUGAAUAUGGUAGUCGGUUAGGGGUGUGAAUCCGGAACCUCCAAAUUUUUUUCUCUAUGCACAAUGGACAAGGUUAAAACAAUUUGUACUAUUUUGUAUGCAAUUUGUUUAAUGAAACAAUAGAGAUGAAUUGCUAAAAAUUAAAGUUUUAGAGCCAAAAUUACUAAAAAUGUCAUCUGAAUAAUGUUGUAAUUCAUCUCAAUAAAAUUAAAGCCAAAAGAUACUUAAAUUGAAGUAAAAUAUGACAUUCGUUAGAAGAACAGAGCGAUCGAGCAAUUGACUAGGACAAUCUCAUGAAAAACAAAACUCAACACUUUCGAAUUUUUUUGUUAAUAUUUUGAACAUGCAUGGUUUACUCACUAGUUACGUUAGUUUCAUGAUAUAAUAAACUGAUAUUAUUUAAAAUCAAUCCAAAAUUAAUUAACUGGUUGUUUGAGAAAAUAUAUUCAUAUAUAAAAGAAUAGAGAAAUCUAAAAUUUUUUAAUUUUCCAGAGAAGGCUGGUUUCUCAAAAUCAAUAAAAAAUAUAUCUCCCAAAGUAACAUUUCAUCUUUGAUUCAUGUUAGAAUCUCCACCAAGUGAUUUCACCAAGAUACACACUGUUAACAGUUUUCGAUUUAUGAAUCCAAAAGGCCAAAACAACUUCAUAAUCAUAUACUGAUAUACAUAUGUCUUGCAUACCUUAAAUAAUUUAAUUAUCAUUAGUAUUUUAGUCUUUUCCGCUACUAGUUGCCCUUUGUAACUUCUUUCAAAAUUUUGAUAAUGAUAUAAAUACUUCUAUUUAAUACUAAAGAUAGAAUAAAAACUUCAUGAUCAUAUAUAUAGAAGAUUCUACAGGGAAAAGAGGCCGCGACGAUUUUUGGUAGGAGGCUGCUGGUGAUCAAACACGUCUCUGAGCUGAGCCAAAAAUAAAAAUAUGAAUCUAAAUUAUUGUAUUAAUGUUACUUACUGAGACCAAUAUACAUACACGAAGUGUACAAUAGAGAUAUAGGAUGCUGAUAGUUGUCGGCUAAGACUAGAUAUUUUAUAUUUCUAUUCGCCAUUAUCCAUUAUUAAGAAUUGUCUUAUAUAUGUUAGAUGUUGACGAUCAUAAUUUCUUAAUAAAGGCUUUAUAAUAUGUUUCGGGCUAAAUUUUCGUAGGAAUUGACGCUGUACGUGAGGUCCAAAUAUAAGCAGAAACAUUAGUGGUUCCAAAUAAAGUCAAACCGACGACGACUGAUUAAUCCCAAUCGAUCAUUUUCGUUUUUUUUGUAAGAAUUCGUUGAAUCCUCUUCACCAUAAAGAAAAAAACAUUUUGUUACGACGUUUGUCGAAAAGAAGAGAUAUGUUUGCAUGUUUUGUCAAACUGAAAACAAAUUACGAUUAUACCUUUAAAAGUUACAUAAUAGUGCAUGACGCUCGGGACGAAACUAAUAUAGCUAGUAAUAUUACAUGUUUUGGUUUCGGUCAUGGAAGGAUAACAGGCUUUGCUCCAGAACCUCCUAGUAUUUAAAAAAAAAAAAGAUAUACAUAAACUUGUUACAUUCAAGUCUGUCACUAUCGAUAGAUGUACGUAAAUAAACUUUGUGUAUUUCAAAGUUUAGCUUCAAAUUUAAUAUUUAGGGUUUAGAGUGUAGUUUUUAAGGUUUAGUUCGAUGUAGUGUGUAUUGAAGAUCAACUAUAACUACAUUGUUUUUUUUUAAUUUUAUUUUUUAUUUUUUUUGGACAAAGACUUGUUUUCAUUCAACUAAGAAAGAAACCAAGUACAAAGAUAAAAGGAUACUGAAAUCCCAAAGUUUAAAAUACAACAAAGAAGGGCAUUUCCCAAUGCCACACAAAGGUAAACAAACAGAUAGAUAAAGUACAUCAACAAUGGUUCCAUAAGAGCUUUGAGCCAAACUCUUGGAGGCGAUUUGGUACAUGUGAGCAGUGCCGGCCCGAUAAAUUUGGGUGCCUAAGCAAAAUUAAAGCCCAUAAAAAAAAAUUUCUUUUAAAUUAGAUUUUUACCAUUAAAAAGAAUGUUGUAGUUGUCUCUAAACACCCACAAUAUUUUUAAAAGGCCCUACAAAAAUUAUUGUAUAUAAGAAAACUUAACAAAUUUUUAAGUAAAAAGGCCCUUACAUUUUGAAGCCCAAAUCGGUGGUUUCAGUGGCUUGCCCUCUGCGCCGGCCCUGCAUGUGAGAUCAAAGAUUGUUGACAAUUGUUCCACGAACAAAUCAGUGGAUGAGAUAAUGGUCAGUAUCAAAAGAUGUAAUGACGUUGAAGAAGAAGCCAAAGACAUAGAUCUCGCCGGCACGAGAAGAACUACACGAAGUAUGGCUUUGGCAAGGAUUCGAACAAGGUUUCAGGAAAGGAUGUUGGUGCUAUGAUGCUUAAAGUUGAUUGCUAGGAUUGCCAUGAAGUGAUGGUUGACCGUAGGUAAACCAAGAUCGCAAUCAAAAAUCUGACAACUUGGAGUCGGGACACAAAAGCCAUAAAACUUUAAGGAUUGAGGUUCGCAUAACAUAGACAUAAGGGAAACUAAAGCCACGGUUCUCAUAUAGUUAAAGCAAAGCCAUAGAAACGACAGUGAAUUACUUCUCAGAUGGAGUCCUCGACCAUUGAGUUUGUAAUCACACAGCCAUCGACAAGGUUUUGGCAGAAAAUAAAUUGGGUCAGGCUUGGGGUUAUGAUAAUAAUGAAUGGACACACACCUUAUGGGCUUGGGAGGCUGAAGCCUUAAUGGGCCAAUUUCAGGUUUAGGGCCCACUUGGGGAAACCCUAAUCUCGCAUUGGGAGUUGACGGAUUUAGCUCAUGGCGGCUGGCCGAGAAAGGUUGCUGGUUUUGCACCGGAUUCAGCUUCAUCGAAAUCUUUACUGGCGGCGGUACAAGAAUAGCGUGGUCCGAUGUUGUGACGAGCAAACAAGAAGUCUUACUAGAACCAGAAUGAAGAGAGAUUACCUGAAGAAGAGAGUCGUCUUGAGCCAUCGAUGUCUCCCCUGAGCAUGGCACACCUGCUGGUCCAAGAGGGAUUGUUCCUACCAGCAACGAAGCCCAGGGGUGUGGAUGUUGGAUUCGCACACUCAAGUAUUUUUAUUAAGUAGGAAAGAUUAUUCUUGAGGGACAAAAAUAAAUAUGUAAAAGGCUUAUGAAUUGUUACAAAAAUUGCUAUAGUAUUUCUUGCUCGAAAGAACGAUCCCCAUACAUGGCCAUUGGCCUUCUUAUUUAUACAUAGAAAAACGACAUUUAAGUGGCUAAUUAAGUACAAUUAUUCUCUCUUAAAUGUGUCCGUUUGAAUUUGCUUUUAAUGCUUAACGUUUGAAUUCUGAUCUUCAUGGGCCUCGCCUUUUGGCCAAAAUGUCCUUGGACUGACUUAACCAUUACUUCGUCUCCGGCCUCGUGUCGAGGUGUAGUCACUUCGGAUUCUCCUUACGGUGAUAACCACUUCGACUGUUCUUUUGACUUGUGGGUAUAAUUGCUUUAUCCUUUAUGGGCCGUUAUCCUGACUACGUGGCAAUCUUUGGUUGGUCCUGGACCUCUGGUGCGGGAUCCGACACCAACAAUUAGCCCCCCAAGUUCUUCGAAGUGCCAUUCCAAUUCGGAGGACUUUAAAUGCUUAAAUGACCAAAAAUUGCGCUCGAGAAUCUUUCUGAUUUCCCGCCGAAAAUCUCAUCACUCCUUUAAUUUCGGUACUAGCCAUUUUUACCCGAGUGACAUCUGUCAUCAUUAUGACCGUAUAUUAAUUAAUUACUAUUAAAACGGGAAAAACCUUCUCACUUCCCACACAACUUCCGAGGCGGUUCCAUCAUUUAGCUUGUGUAACGUAACUUUUUUUUCAUCAUCAUUUUCUACUUUUACAUUUGCACUUUAUUCGAAACUUCUCUCUUCUUUUCCUUCGCCAAAUUUCUCUUCGUCGGAUCUCGAACCUUUCAUUUUCCCCAAUGACUUCUGAUUCUGAAAGGCCCGAAUCUCCGUCAUUCGACGAUAGGCGCUCUAGUAAUGACGAAUGCACUCGCCCUAAUGAUAUUGCCGGUCCGCACUAUAGAUCCACUUGUACUCUUCAAUCCCUCGAGCGGUUGAGAGAGCUUUGCCGAAUUCCGCCAGAAAUUAUGGCGGAAGCACAAAUAGCUGCCCCCACAGAAUCCCCAGAGAACCAUCGCGAUGGUUACUUCUGUGUGUACGAGAUUUAUUUCAAGGGUUGCGGAUUAACCUUCCCACUUCCCGAAGCCCUGGUUCGGUACUUGGCGGUUCUCGAGAUCGCUCUUCCUCAAUUAACCCCCAAUCUUCUCCGAACCAUACUCGGAAUUAUAACAGUAGCGGCGGAAGCCGGAUACAUUAUAGGGGUCCCCGAGCUGAAUGAGCUUCUAAGCGUGAGAAGUUCAUCGAAGAAGACAGGGUAUUUCUCGGCAUACCCUAAUGCUAACAGGAACGUCAUUUCACAUCUUCCAAACAAGGAUGAAAAUUGGCAUCACCCUUGGUUCCUGAUUAAGAAAACCCCUGCUUCGAUUGGAAGUCUAUCAGAUCUACUCCCAUCGAAGUGGUCCGCGAAACCUGGUAGAAAUUAGGUCGCAUACAUUCCUCCAAUUUUAUUAUUCCUAUUGAUUAAACUUGUUAUUUUCACUUUGCAGCUUUUGUCGCUCCGACUUUACCAACUGAAGAAUUCAUUGGCUUCUUCAAAAUAAUCCUCGAAGAGGAAACCCUUUGGAAUUCUUUCACUCUCGAACGGUUCAUAGAAGCCAAUCGAAAACUCAGGAUGAGCCCUCCCAAUCAACUUCAUCGUCUUCCGCCUCUUCCCUCGACCCAGGGAAUGUCAGCUCGGGCUCUCACUGGCCAGCGAAAAAUGAUUUCCAAGCCGAUGGCUGAGGCUUGUGACGAGAACAAGGCGUUCCUUGCGACCGCCAUUGACAAAAAAGAUUAUAGCAAAACCUUAUUGGUUGACGACGGUAGCACCGAAGGAGCCAGAUCCGUCGCCGUUUUCAGAUUGACACCUCGACGUGAACGUCACGAUGACCGUCCUCCCCGGAGGCUCCAAUCUCCUAACCGCGACUAUCCUCGUUCUUCCUGAGAUGACUUUAGCAACGAACCGCUUAAGGAUUUAAUUCGCAAAAAGAGGGAUAGGUCAUCCCGCAGUGGUUCUUCUCCGUGAAGAGAGAAGUCAAGGGCCCGAACUGACCGUUCUCCUCGAUCGUCCCCUCCUACUGAACCAAUGGGUCCUCCUCGUCCUGUUGAUAUGUCAUCUUCUUCUCAACGUAGUGGUGAGAAGACGAACCUGGGUGCAGCUUCUCAGAAGGAAAGUUCUGAGUCUCGAGAUGACUCUCCGAAGACAAAGCCUGCUCUUGUUCCUCAGAUCAAAUCGCUCUCAGGUAUGACGAUAUACAUGUAUUCUUUUCUUUUCGUCUUGUACUUAUUUUGAAUUUCUAAGACCUUUCCUCUUUUGCUUUCGUAGCCAUGGAGAAAGAGGGUAACGUUUUUCGGUGCUUCAAAACCCGAUCAGGUGCGAUCCUGCCAGAAUUCAACAAGUGGCGCUCUGCAAUUCGUGAACGAUACCUACUUCAUGCUCAUCAUUCAUCUCGGGUUAGUUUCGCUUCAUUUUUCUGACUUCACUGUCAUUCUUCGAACUGAUCCGUCAUUCCGGGUUUAUGUGUAAUAUCAGGCGAACGACGAGCUCAAUGACAUAAUUGAACAUUACGAAGGGUUGGUCAUUGGUCGGGAGAAGGAGAUAAACACGUGGAAGAGCAAGUUUUCUAAUCUCGAGGCUGAACUCCGUUCUUCUACCGACUCCAAGCAUGAUUUGGAGGACAAGGUUGAUGGUCUAUCAUCCGAGCUUGCGAAGAUAAAGGGGGAGCUGCAAGACCAGUAUGACCGGAAUUACAAGCUCCAGGAUGAACUUUUUGGUGUUCAGGGUAGACUUCAUGAGUCUGAAUCAUUCGCCGAUACCCUGAACAACCAACUUACCGAGCUUCACGCGAAGUACCAUGCGAUCGCCAAGUUGCGUGAUUCCGAGUUAGCAAGGUCAGCAUCGAAGGCCAGAAAGGAGGUUAAGGGACGCGGGAUGGAGUUGAUCCAAGGGGCCAUCCGCUUCAUGCAGACCGAGAAAGCUAGGUCAGAUUUGGAAUCAGACAUCAAGGAGCACGAGAGCAACCUGAUUCUGUUGGAUCAAAUCCAUGAUACAGAUUUCUCCGAGGAGCUAGAAAGGACCGAACUGUCGGCUAAUCUUUCAGAAAAGCGGAGUCGUUUGGCAGCUCUUCCUACUUUGACCUUCAAUCCGCAGGACUUCGAGGAAUUCUUCACUGAAUCGUCUCCUAUAAGUGAAUCAGGUCUAGACUGGGCAGGUAACGCUUGGCUCCUGACACUUACUACCUUUUUCUCACCUUAUGUUUUGUUUUUUUUUAAAAAACAAUUGACUGGAACUGUCCUUCCCAGGCUCAAGUGAGACGGAAGAUGUCUUCCCACCCGAAGUUCCUGCGGCACCGGCGGUCACCCCGGAGGAUGGUUGUACUGUGGAGGGCGGACCAGGAGCCCCAUCUGACCAAGCACCAACCAAAGAGGAGAAUGAAACUUUGACUGCCGAGCCGGAGUCCGAGGUGGCUGUUACUCCGUAGUGGCUGCGUCCACUUUAAAUUGGGAAUUGUCCCAUUUAUUUUAAAACUUAAUUUCGAACUUGUUUUUGCCUAAGGAGGCUUUAUUAUUUCUUUUGAACGAGAGAUUUGCCUGAGGAGGCUUUUAAACCUUUCUAGGUUUUGACCCCAAGGGGGUUUGGUUAAAAUUAUGUGCGGGUUUGCAAAGUCCGCUUUUAACCCUUUGUGGCCUUGUGGUUAUGCUUUCGAGAUUUUUAAGCUGAUCAGACCUUUCUCUUAAGAAUGCGAGAACUGAGCUCGGCUUAAAGCGAGUUCCCCAUUUCGGGUUUAGUCAACUCGAUAAAUUUAUUGGGCUUGGGCCUUAGAAACUUUUGUAGUUAAUGCGACGGUUGCUCUUUCCCUUCUUAUUUCUUGAAAGUAGGAAAAGCGGCUCGUCUUUAAUGUAAUAAUUGCCUUUUCUCGAUUUUCCAAAAAUGGUUUAAUCCACUAAGGCACGCCACCAUUAUUGAAUUUUCAUUCCCAAGGCAAACCUUAACCCUAUUAUAAAUAGGAGUUUGUCCAGCUUUGAUCUUUCCUCAAGAAACUUCAUAACACCAUAUUAAUGGAAAACGAAAACAUAGCCCCCAUUGAUCCCGGCAGCCCACUCUUCUUGUCCGGUGACAGCUUUGAACCGGCCGGCGUUCUUUUCCCUCACGCCGUCUUUCACUUUCCUUCAAAGGAGAAGAAAGAGGCUUGCGAAUUUAUUGACAAGGUUAAUAUCUGUCGUCUUUGACUAAAAACUGUUUGUCUCAUCUUAUUCAUUCAUCUUUAUGCUAGGUCGCCGACAAACACCGUCGCUUGUGCGAAGAGAGACAGCGGCUAGGCCUCAAAAGGCAAACACUCGAGGCUCGCAUCGCUCGGGUGGAGAGGAAGAUACGGGCUUUGGAAAGUGACCCCUUUCAAUGGGAAUCGCGGAACUUUGAUUAUGUCGCUAAGAUCCCGAAGAUGCUCCGGAUGUAUCUCCAUGCUAAAAGAGUUCCGGGUCCCGUGAAUGCUCCAGUCCAUACCGUUCCAUCCGAUAGCGAGGAAGAAGACGAAGAGGAGGCUAGUACCAGUCGGAAACGCGUUCGGGAUCGUCCCGAAGUGGAUGCCAAGAACAAGGCGUCCACUUCGAAAACUAAACCGGCGAUGAAGGAGCCUGUUCCUGAGCCUCUUCCAUAAAUGUUCUCUAACUUCUUCACUUACUUUGAACUCGUAAUGGGCUUCGGCCCCUUUUUAUUUAUGGAAAUAUUUGCAAUUUUCCUUACUCUUCAAAUAUUCUCGGAGAUGCGUCUUUUAAUGCAGGAUCGGUUUAAGGGCAUAAAUCUUUCCGCGAAUCAUUCCAUUCUUAGGAUAGAAUCCGCAGCUUACCAAGAAUAUGACAUUCCUAUAAAUUAUAGUCUCAACUUCUCUUUUCUCCUCACCACUCUUUUUCAUUUUAGCAGGUAUGGAGUUUAACCUUCGAUGUUCAGAAUCUAUGUCCAACUUCUCCAGGAUUAGAAUGAUAAACGAAGAUGCUCCAAAUGAGCCAAAUAGGCGGCCUCUUCCACCUCGCGGCAUCUUCAGAUCCCAGAUUCGAGCUCCAUGCGCUUUGAUCAGGGAUCUCUCGAUCAGAGACCAAGGAACAGCGAUGGCAUUCAUAGAUGCACUUGCGCUUCAACAUCGGAAGCUUACGUUGAAAAAAAGGAGACUCCGGAAGAGGAUUAACCGGAUGCAACGCAGGCUUACUACGGUAUCAAGAGAUCUUCACGUCCUUGAAUCUCACCCUGAAGAAUGGAUCGAGCUUGGAAUCUCUGACUUUGCUCGAAUUCCGGACUGCAUGAAGCCAAUCCUCGACCUUGCUGGUCAAGGAGUUGAAGUGUUCUGCUCGUCAACAAGAUCUCCAUAACCCAAAGUGUACGAUGAGGGACAUUCCAUUUUUGUUUUUGAAUAAACGCUCUAUUUCCAAUCUCUUGUAUGUUCGCAUAGCCGAACCUUUAUUUGCUUCACUUGUUCGCUCAGUCGAACCUUUUCCUUUAAUAAAGAAAUAAAACAAAAAAUUUUAUUAAUAGCUGAACUCGUUUCCGAGCUGCCUACGUACCCAUUUCGGGAUCAAGCCACAUCGUAGUUCAUGUACAUAAAAAUGCAUGUAGCUUUAAACAUAAAACUUCUUUAGGUUGAUCACAUUCCAAGGUCGCUUGACUGGCCUGUCUUCUAAGUCUUUCAAUCUAUAAACACCGUUCCGAACCACUUCAGUAAUAAUGUAAGGUCCUUCCCAAUUAAUACCAAGUUUACCGGCACCUUCUUCUUUUUUAUUGUCAAAGACGCGCCUUAACACAUAAUCUCCCACGAAGAACGGCCUACUUUUGACUUUAGAGCUAGGAAGCAUGGAAGCGCCGUCCAACCUCUGAUUCUCGCUUUGGAACCAGAAGCGGGUGCGGAAGCGACCGGAAUCGUGAUGGAAGCGCGGUUCCAGAAAAUUGAAGAUUGGAAGCUUCUGGGAAGCGUUCGAUUCGGACUUGGAAGCGUGGUUUUUUUAUCAACGGAAGCGCAGCCUUCCCACAGAAACCCACCCGUCGUUUAUCCUCACAAACUAAUCCAGAGAGUAGUGAAUCAAGAAGAAGUACGUACCUCCGGUGAACAGAUCUGACGUGGAGAUCACAAGAGAGUAGAGAGAAGACGCAAAGCUCAAAACUUUCUGUUAUAGACUCGUAAAAGGGAAGUGAAUGAAGAAGAAGAUACAGAGCCAACAUGAAAGACCCUUUUACCCUUCUAGUUGUGACUAAUUACUGAUACCCACAACUUGUGCUUCUCACGUGUCAAUGGAGAGAGGUUGUCUUGAAACCUCUGAUUGCUUGAGAGUCUUCAUGACACCAAAACCUACACUCUUUUCAAGUUGUCUUCGGUGGUUUCAGUUUUAGAUCUAAUCGGCGACUCUUCUCUCAAGUCAGUCUCCGACAAAUUUAUUGAAAGGAAUCUGACUACCACAAGCCAUAUUUGGGCUUUAAUUUUUUUAUUCUUUUAAGUCUAAUUUUGUUUAAAUGGCCCGUUUUUAUUUGCGUUUUUAUUCUUUUAUUAAGACAUCCAAAAUAUUUUAUUGUUAACAAUGCAUUUCUUACUUUUGAUGACUAUAUUUAUUAUUCUACAUGUUAUGUAUUUCGUUUGGUUUAAAAUUUUCUCAAUUAUCAUGCAUAUCCAAUGGUUAGUGUAGAGUAAAUUAAAUAUUUAAUAAAUCUAUAUAUAUAUAUAUAUGUAUAUAUUUACGCUUCUAACACGUACCCGCUUCCUAACUUUUUUAAAAAACUCGUUUCCCCGCUUCCAAACGCUUCCGCUUCCGAUUCCAUGCAGCUUAGCUUUAGAGUUGUAAUAUCGGGCUGCUGCCUGCUGGUAGUUCUGAAUCCGAAUCAAAGCUUGAUCACGCCUUUCAUUUAUGGUAUCUAGUGAAUCAUUAAGCAUUGCUGAAUUUUCUUCCUCAUUUAAUGGUGCUUCUGUUCGGCGAAGUCCGGGCACGUUGAGUUCAGCUGGUUGAGUUCAGCUGGUACUACUGCCUCCAUGCCAUAAACCAAAGAGAAUGGAGUUUCUCCGGUAGGUCGCCUAGGGGUUGUACGAUAGGCCCAUAGGACGGGUUGGAGUUCUUCAUACCAUCCUCCCUUUAGAUGAUUCAAACGUUUCUUGAGAUUGCUCAGUAUCGUCUUGUUCGCGGCUUCAGAUUGACCAUUUCUUUGCGGAUAUCGUGGAGUAGAGUAACUAACUUUGAUUCCCCAGUCUGCACAAAAGGCAUCAAACUCUUGUGAAAUGAAUUGUGGCCUGUUAUCGGUGACUAUUUUAUACGGAACUCCAUGUCGACAUAUAAUAUUCUUCCAAAUGAAAGUCUUCACCGCCGAAUCCUUGAUGCCAACAUAUGCCUCAGCUUCAAUCCAUUUCGAAAAGUAGUCCGUCAAGACCAAAAGGUAUUGUACACCUCGAGUUGAUCUGUGCAAUAGUCCAAUGAUGUCCAUUGACCAUCUCAUAAACGGGUACGGGGCGGAGAUGGAAGAGAAUAACUCCGAAGGUUGAUGGAUCAAUGGUGCAUGGAGUUGGCAGCGCUUACAUCUUUGGGCAAAUUUAACACAAUCCGUGAUCAUAGUGGGCCAAUAGUAUCCCAUUCUUUUAACUUUAAAAGCCAUAGCUCUUCCUGAUGAAUGACUCCCACAUAAUCCUUCAUGCACUUCGCUCAUGACGAUUUCGACUUCGGGCCCAAAAAUGCAUAAUAGGUAAGGGUCGCUGACACCUCGUUUAUAUAAUGCAUCCUUUGAUAGACAAAAUUUCGCGCUAACGACUUUCAUUUUCCUGGCCUGCCACUUAUUCUUUGGGAGCUCGCCUGUCAUGAUGUAGUGCUUUAUUGGCUCCCUCCAGUCAGCCCCCCAGUCUUUAGCCGAAAUUUGGUCAACCUUGUAAAAUACUCGUGGUUCUGGUUCGGGAUGUUCGUUUGGUUCAAGAACAUCCUCCUCGAUUAACGGCUCUAUUUCUAAUAUCGUUUCUGGAAUCACAUCUUCUGCUAAGACAACGGGUUCCUUGUUAGAUGUGUUUGAUCCCUUUGACUUCCUCCGUUUGUUGGGUGGUGGUUCGAUCUCUGGUUUGCCAUGGUCACGUGCCGCUGCUCGAGACCUUGUAACGACGAGGGUUUCUUUGUUGUCUUGAAUGCUUCAUUCUGAAAUGCAUUCCACUGGAAUAACUCUUUUCAACUCAGGAUCUGAUGUUGACGCUAAUGCGGCAAUUGCGUCCGCAGUUGUAUUCUCCCCCCGAGGUAUGCAGAUUAAUUUGAAUUUCGAGAAAUUUUUAGAUAGAUCCUUCACCACUUUGAGGUAUGCUUCCAUUCUUGAGUCCUUGGCUUCAUAGUCUCCAUUAAACUGGUUAACUACUAAUUGCGAAUCACAAUAAGCCACUAUUUCCUUAGCUCCAACUCCUUGUGCCAAUCGAAGUCCGGCAAUCAGGGCUUCGUAUUCUGCCUCGUUGUUGGAGGCAUUGAAUAACAAUCAGAAUGACUGUUCUAGAAUUUCUGAUGUUGGAGACUCCAACUUGAUUCCCACUCCGGAUCCUUGUUUUGUUGAAGACCCAUCUACAUGUAAUUUCCAAGUUUGGUUCUCCGGUUGCUCUAUCGUUCCAGUAUUGUAGCUCGGUCAAGAAGUCUGCUAAAACCUGAGCCUUCAUACUGAUCCGGCUUUUGAAUUCUAUAUCGUACUCGCUUAAUUCCACCGCCCAUUUCGCCAAACGUCCGGACUGACUUGGACUAUGAAGUAUUGUUCGGAGUGGUUGGUUGGUUAAUACUUCAACCGGAUGGAAUUGAAAAUAUGGGCGCAGCUUCCGAGCCGAGAUCACCACCGCGAGUGCGAGUUUUUCCAUCAUUGUGUAUCUGGUUUUCGGAUCCGUCAUUGACUUACUUACGUAGUAAAUUGGCUUCUGUUCCCCGCGGUCUUCCCGAACCAAGACUCCACUAACCGCAUCGUUUGAAACCGACACGUACAAAUAAAGUUUUUCAUCCACUUCUGGCUUGGACAGUAUAUGAGGAGUGGUUAAGUAAGCCUUAAGCUGCCCAAAAGCUUCUUCAUACUUCUCAUCCCAUAGGAAUCCUUUGUUUCCUUUUAGAAUUUGGUAGAAAGGUAACGACUUAUCUGUUGAUCUCGAGAUAAAACGAUUCAAAGCCGCAAUCCGCCCAGUCAACCGUUGUACUUCCUUGAAGUUUCUUGGAGAUGGCAUGUUUAGAAAGACGUUAAUUUGGUUUGGAUUGGCUUCAAUCCCUCUUUCUGUCACAAUAUAGCCAAGAAAUCCUCCGGAUGGGACUCCGAAUGCACUUCGCCGGGUUCAGCUUCAUUUGAUAUUUAUUGAGAAUAUCAAAACAUUCUUCUAAAUGCUUAACGUGAUCUUCUUUCUUUAACGAUUUAACCAACAUAUCAUCUAUGUAGACUUCCAUUGUUUUCCCGAGAUGAUGGUGGAACAUUUUGUUAACCAACCGUUGAUAAGUUGCCCCUGCAUUUUUCAAACCGAAAGGCAUUACCUUAUAACAAUAGAUACAUCUAUCAGUGAUAAAUGACGUUUUUUCCUGGUCUUCGGGGUUCAUCAUUAUUUGAUUAUAACCCGAGAAUGCGUCCAUGAAUGUUAACAGCUCAUUCCAAGCGGUGGAUUCUACAAGUCGAUCUAUAUGCGGGAGCGGGAAACUGUCUUUGGGACAUGCUUUGUUGAGGUCUGUGAAAUCGAUGCAAACCCUAUCUUUCCCAUUCUUCUUCUUGACAACGACAGUGUUUGCUACCCACUCCGGGUAUUGCACUUCUCUUAUGGACCCUAUCUUCAAAAGUUUAUCCACUUCGUCAUUUACUAUUUUUGCUCGCUCUACUCCAAGCUUUCUUCUUUUUUGUUUCACCGGUUUGAAGCUCGGAUCCACGUUUAGUUCAUGACAAAUUAUACUUGGAUUUAUGCCAGGCAUGUCCGCCGCUGACCACGCAAACGAUGUUUUGUUUUUCCUCAAGAGUUCGAUCAAAGCUUCUUUUAGUUGGCCAGUCAAAGUUGCCCCAAUUCGAAUUUUCCGGUCCGGUUUGUCUUCUUCCAACACCACUUCGAUUACUACAUCAUCUUUUUUCUGCCCGCUAAGAAAUUUUGUUCUUAGUCCCUCUUUUGCGGACUUCGUUAAUUGCUAUUGAAUCUUCAUACGGUGGCUAGCUAGAUAACACGUCUAUGAAGCUUCUUGAUCUCCCCGAAUUGUUUCCACUCCUCUUGAUUUGGAAAUUUGAUACAUUGAUGAUAUGUAGAGGGGACUGCUUUCAUUUGAUAAAUCCAGGGAGUCCCGAGGAUGAUGUUGUAAGCUGCGGGCUUAUCGAAGACAACGAAGUCCACGAUCUUUGAUACCUUUUUGGAAAGGAGACGGAGGCCCUACUAUGUCCGCCUGACUAAUUCCCAUUCUUUCUAAAGUACUUAAAAAGAUCAAAUCGACCGAACUGCCUAUAUCUAUAAGGAUCCUUGAUACUUCGAAGUUGGCAACGUCAAGGGUAAUGACUAGAGCAUCAUCAUGAGGUCUUUCGAGGUGCCGCGUUUCUUCUUCAUUAAACGAUAUUGAUGCACCUUGAAAAUCGACUUCUUCGCUCAAGCUUGCUUUGAGUAGGACAUUUCGUCUAUGUUUCUUGAUGGAACUUAUCGAAUCUCGACAAAAUUUGGAACCUCCUAGAAUAACAUUGAUCUUACCCUUAGAAUUCCUCGGUUCUUCCUCGUUGGUUAACCUUGGUCUUUUGGAAUUUUGAUCUUUGGAAUUUUCCUUUGCUUCGUGGUAUUCCUUCACAAAAUCUUUUAUAUCGAAUUUGGAAAGAUCUCCACUGGCCCAAAGCUCUGCGAGGUGCCUUUUAAGAACGCUACAAUCCUUGGUUAAAUGUCCGGUUACUUUAUGAAUGUCGCAAUAUAGACUUUCAUCAUGGACCCAAGUGUUUGAUCUUCCUUUCCCUUGGAAUUGCUUUCCGACGGUACUGUUGAAGGGUUGCAACCCAAAUUUCUUUGGUCCUUUAUUCUCCCUAGGUUCGAACUUCUUGGUAGGGACGGUGAUUGCCGGCUUUUCUUGCUUAUUUCUUUUGGCAAAAUUUUAUUUUUUGUCCUCUACCUCCAUCCAGUUGUUUGCGCGGAAGAGCGCAUCCUGAAUUGUGUCUGGUUUAUGAAGUAUUAAAUCUUCUUUAAACCUUGAAUCAUGUCGCAAUCCCUUUCGUAGGGCGGAUAAAGCCGAUUGUUGUGAGAUUCUUGGGAGUUUUGACAGCACUCCUUUGAAUUUGGUGAUGAAAACUCGAAGUGACUCAUUUGAUCCUUGUGAUAGGUUCCAAAGAUCGGCAUCCGAAACGCUUUUAUCCAUAAGGAUGGAAUAUUGCUUUAAGAACACAGCUGAUAGCUCGUCAAAAUUGCUGAUCGAACCCGGCUCUAAUUGGGUGAACCACAUUAGAGCUUGGCCGCAUAGAUUUUCUGAAAAGAGCUUACAGUAACCUGCAUCCUCGUCAGCUUCAUCCAAUUCGACUCUUCCAGCUGCGAUCAGAAAAGCUGCGAGAUAGCUCUUUGGAUCCUCCAAUCCGCUGUAAGGGUCCAACUUGAGCUUCCGGGAAUCUUUGAUUCUCAAACUCGCAAUUCGCGAGAUGAAAGGUGUUCGCCUAGCUUCUUCAAUGACUCGAUUGAUGUCUAGCUCCGAACUUGUAGCUUGAUGGAACUUUGACUUCAUUUCUUUUAGUUCCUGGCUAACCUUCCUCAUAGUCUCGAACUGGUCGAGGUUUUCCUGCUCGUAUUGAUCUGCAAGUUGAGCUUCAUCUUCGAGUUGUGCCUCUCCAUCCAAUGGCUGAACUAUAUUAUUAGUAGCUCCAGGAGUUGUUUGUCCGCUGGUUUUGUUUCGCGCAACGGAACUUGGCGAGUUGAAUAUCCUCCUUCGGAUUCCCACAGGAUUUCCUGCACUUAAAGAGCGAACACGAGUUUGUAUAGUAUUGACGUUUUGGCUAAGAGAUACCUGGGAUGUUUGCAACGUAUCGACGGCCUUUUCCACAUCCGAGAACUUUUGUGAUAUGUCCGACAUGGUUUGCUGCAUAGCUCUGAGGGUUUCGGCCAAUGAUGUCUCAACGGCGUCUCCUCCGUGCUGCUUAUCUCGGAAAUGUAGUAAAGAAAAAAUCUGACCACUCAAGAAUACUCUAUCCCCACAGACGGCGCCAAAAUGUGGAUGUCGGAUUUGCACACUCAAGUAUUUUUAUUAAGUAGGAAAGAUUACUCUUGAGGGACAAAAAUAAAUAUGUAAAAGGCUUAUGAAUUGUUACAAAAAUUGCUAUAGUAUUUCUUGCUCGAAAGAACGAUCCCCAUACAUGGCCAUUGGCCUUCUUAUUUAUACAUAGAAAAACGACAUUUAAGUGGCUAAUUAAGUAUAAUUAUUCUCUCUUAAAUGUGUCUGUUUUGAUCUUUGCUUUUAAUGCUUAACGUUUGAAUUUGAGUUGAUUCUGAUCUUCAUGGGCCUCGCCUUUUGGCCCAAAUGUCCUUGGACUGACUUAACCAUGACUUCGUCUCCGGCCUCGUGUCGAGGUGUAGUCACUUCGGAUUCUCUUUACGGUGAUAACCACUUCGACUGUUCUUUUGACUUGUGGGUAUAAUUGCUUUAUCCUUUAUGGGCCGUUAUCCUGACUACGUGGCAAUCUUUGGUUGGUCCUGGACCUCUGGUGCGGGAUCCGACACCAACAAGGGGGAGAGAUCUUCAUGGGUGAUAAACAUUUUGGCUCGAGAGGAUUUAACCUUAGUGGAUUCUAGAUCCAAAUUUUGUAGAUCACAAGAUUUUUGGUGCUUCUGUUUGGAUGUUGCGGACAUAAUCUGAGGGAGGGAGUUCACCGGAUUCACCCUCCUUCCUUUGAAUAUCAGUGAUGCGUAGCCGCCGUUUUGGGUUGAGAUCGAGAGGUUUCGAGAGAUUUGCAAAAAGAGAAAAUAAAAGGGGGAACAAAUUAAACAAAAGGAGACAAAGAGAUGAGAUCUAAAGUAAAGAAAUUUCAGGGAGGUGAAAUCCCGACGCCGGCGAGCAAGAGCUCCACCGGCGUCGAAAAGCUUGAGCAACUUGACCUCCUCGAUAGUCGUGUCUGAGAGAGUUCACGGGUUAGUACAAUUUUUUUUUUUUUAUAAGUAUACAAAUGUUAAUAAUGCUCUAUAUAUUUGUUUACAUAUAUACAAAUAUUAAUAACUCUCUAUACAUGUGUUUACAUAUUAAUAAUGUUUAAUGUACAUGUUUACAUCUAUACAAAUAUUAAUAUCGUUCUCUAUAUAUCUAUUUACAUGUAUACAUAGAUGAUAGAUCCAAUAAGUUAAUGCUAUAAUUAUAUUUAACGUUUUAUAUAUGUAUAUUUUUUUGCAUGACUAUUUAUUGGGUAUCUAUUCCAUUAGGUUAGUGGUUUAAAAUUUUAAAUACCCGCCUAAAAGUUUGCGUUAUAGAUUCAAAAUUAAGAGAUUCGAAGACAGUCCGUCAGUUUGCAUUUAAUACAAGUUCCCUCCUUUCUAUCGUCGAGUAAAUGUCACUUCUACAACAGAGCAUUUAAUAACUGUCAUUUCAUUUUUUUUUCUUCCCCAAAUGUCAAUGGCGCUAUCACACGCGCAUGACUCCGUAACCAACUGGUUUUAUUGUAAUUUUUUUGAAGUUGAGGGCCAUUAAUAACGUUUAAUUUUUGUUUGUCUCGAACAAAGUGACCUAUUACCGAUUAUCUAAUUAGAAGUCACAUUUUUACCUCUGCGCAAAUUCACUCUAAAGAAAAAACAUUGUCAUCACCUAUUAGUAACAAAAGUUUCAUGCUCACGUGUCGUUCGAAGAGAGAUUCUUAGCCAUUUAAAUAAUUGCUUAAACUUUAUAUAUUUACAAAUUUUGCCAUUAGUGUUAUAGUAUAUACAUAUUUUACACAAAUAAAAAAAAAGAAGUUUAAAUUAAAUAAAGCAUAUUAUGAACUAAUAAACUAUUCACAAAAAUUUAUAUGAUUCUUUGUUAUUUAAGUUAGAAAAUAUUUUAUCGUUUUCAAUCAUUGUACGGGUAAAACAAAUUUAAAUACGAAAAAUCGAUGAUUGGAAUGGUAUAAAAAAUUUAUUAGAUGUUUUUUAAAAUAAUUUAGAUAUUAGAUAAUAACAAUACGGGAAAAUAUCAUUUAGAUAAUCAGUUUACCAUUUUCGUUGGUUUAAAAUAUGAACUCUGGACCUGGUGAUUUAAAUCUUCAAUUUUAUGUGGAUCUGGUGUUUUAAAUCCUCAAUUUUAUGUUGAUUUUCAAUUUAAUCACGAAUUCUCGUUGACUAAGCCAAUUGAGGCACAUUGUUAACUGGCUAAAUGUCAUCGCAUAUUUUUUGAAGAGGAAGACGGAAACCCUGUUGGUGUAGAAGAAAAAUUAAUGGAUGGCUUCGAAGUGAUAGUUAUGCGAUGACAUCUUCUUAUUGAUAUGUUUAGCCGGUUAACGAUAUGUCAAUUGGCUUUGUCAACGAGAAUUCAUGAUUAAAAUGAAAAUCAACAUAAAAUUAGGAUUUAAAUACCAGAUCUAAAAUUCAUGCUUUAGACCAACGAAAAUGGUAAACUGAUGAUUUAAAUGACAUUUUUCCCGAUAAUAAUACCAAUCAUUUUGUAAAUAGAAGUACAAUUUAACAAUCAUAUCGGUAAACUAUCUAGUUAAUUAUGCUCAUAUUUUGUUACGUUUUUCACUUAACAUAUCUAAGUAAUAUUAAAUAACUCAUAAACUUAACUUUAUGUAACUCAAUUUUCAUAUUCUGCUAGAUUAUUUUAGUACUGUUAACCAUGCAUCUUUGACUCCUUCUUUGUAAAAUAUCUUUGCAAGAUUCCAAAUUUUCCAGUGUCCCACAUACAUCCAUUUGCGUCUGUCAUUGAGCUUAAUGUAACUCACAUUCACAUUAUCACGGGUCAUAAAAACCCGAACACGAACUUCUAUUGGUAUGAAUGUUAAAACUGAUGAUAACAAAAUAAAACAAAUAACAUUUUCUUUAAAUUCAUACUACGCAAUUCUAGGUAAUAUAUAACGUUCAUACAAAGUUUUUGAGAAUUUACUAAUUACCUAAUGCCCUGAUCGAGUUCAACCUGAGAAGCUAUAAUUUUGGCUCGUUAUGAAUGAGAAACUGAAAAGAAAAAAAAAAGUUGAUUUACGAGUUCAGGAUAUUCGAGUCGAGAUAUUUACGCGUCUCGGGCUCGCGGCUAGAAAAUCUAGUAAUUCACUAUCAAGAAUAUACAACAUGCGUAGCUCUACUCUAAAGUCGUGAACUCGUGAUGAUGGAGUUUCAAAACAGAGUUACAAGCUCUUAUAAUAUCAAACCCUUCAUCCGAAUAAGAGACUCUCUCUUAAACCUUGAUACCGAAUUAACCAGUCUCUAUUUUCAUGGUUAUGUUUUAAUGAGCUAAACCGAAUAAACCUGAGUUCUAAACGAAUCACUUCUUCAACAGUACCGCUCAUUCAUGGAUAAAAUAGAUUCUUAAAAAGUCGAACAACGCAUCAAAACAUUCGGUCAAGAAUUGAUUUCGGUUCGAACUUUUCGCUACAAAAACAUUCGAUCAAGGCCUCUUAGACAUGGGCGUCCAUAUUCUCUUCCAAGAUCUCUCAUUCAUAGGAAUAUAGGAUCAUGAUUUAUUGAAAGCACAUAAACAUCAUUGUAUAGAUAUGAUCAAUCAAACCACAUUUCUCCCGGUCAAACAAGAAGAAAACUUUGAUGUCAAUAACUGAGCUGUUCAUUCUCUUACUCAAAAGCUGACGAUAACACACACACAUAUAUAUAUAUAUAUAUAUAUAUAUAUAUAUAUCUUUAGUUGAGAAUGUCUACUCAUAACUUAGUGUUUUAAAUACAGUUUUAGGAUUAUUGAAAAUCAUGUUUUAAAUGAAAAAUUCAAACUAAGCUCGAAAUAUGUAAUAGUUAGGUGAAUAUCACAAUGAUCAAUAGUUUUUAGUAGAAAUGAACUAUUUAGUAAAUAAAAUUAGCAUUCUACAGCAUGAAAAUUUAAAUAUAAAGAUUUUAAUUAUAAUCUUAAUGCAAGAAUUUCGAAAUAAGACAUUGGGUACAAAAUCUCUUUUAUUAAACGGGGAACGUUGAAAAUAGAAAUAGAUUGCUACAAAGCAUACAUUUGAGAGGAAAAAAAAAAACUAUGAAAGUCUCACACAUUUAUUAUUUCACUUUAACAAAUUCAAAUUUAAACAAAAACUCUAGCUUACAUGCAUUUAUUCAAAUUGUAAUUGUUUUGAGGGGGAAACUGUGCAUCACAUCGUAUGCAUAGCUGUUGAUAUCGUUCAAGCACAUUGGAAACCAGACGGAAGCUUUCUGUUACAAACGUUGAGAAGAACGCUGAGAGAUAUUGGAACGUUAAGGUUGAUGCCGAGAACGUUAGCCCUCAGAGCAGUGCAGAGACAAACCGCAGCGUCGACGUCAACCAAACCUUGGAUGAGCGAGCAACAUGGUUGAGCUGAUGGCUGACCCAAUUGUAUGUUGAGUAGACUGCUUAGAACGUUUGCACAUACACCAAGCUUGAGAGCAUCGAUAGGACAGUUUCCAGAUGAACCAGUGCUGGGAGGCGUGACGGGCCUAGGGUUAGGAUUUGGGACCGAAGGACUUGGGACUGAAGGACUUGGGACCGGCUUGGGUUUAGGACUUGGGACUGGCUUGGGCUUAGGACUAGGGACCGGUUUGUGCUUAGGACUCUGGUUGCAACCACAAUCAGUUGCAGCAGUUAAGGUGAAGAAUAGGAUGUUGAGGGCGAAGAAAAGAGCAAUAGAGGCUGAGUUCUUUGAAGCCAUUUUUUUCUUUUGAAAAGAUAGGUUCGGUGUUUAAGGAUUAUUGAGUGUGUUUGAGAGAGAGUGAUGAAUAAAAAUGAAGAGAGGGUGUGGGAAUUUAUAGGGUAUUAGAAGGAUGUGAAGAGGACCAACUUGUUCUAGUAUAAUUGAUUAUUUACAGAUAUUUGUACGUAAUUCUACAAAAUAUCUGUUUUUAUUUUUUUUAUUUGUGCGUAUCUACAUAUACAAAUUCUGACCUUUUUAUUUUCUUUUAUGUAGAUUCGUAGAACCUUAGAAAUUAUUUAUUAAAUCCUUUUCACGAAACUAUUAUAAUUAAGGGGAUGUGCCUUUAAUCAAGUGGUUAACUCCAUUUGACUCUGCCUUCCCCACCGGAGUUCGACUCCUCUAAGUCGCGUUAUCCCGCGUAGUAGGGAUUGGCUAUGGAUCGUCAUUGUCGAUCCAAAGAUGUCAAAAAAAAAAAAAACUAUUGUAAUUAAGAAAAUAUAUGAUUCGUGCAUUCAUAUUAGUAUUAUUCUCAAAUUAUCAAUGCGUUAUAAUCACCGCCAUCAUGAUGAAUUCAUGACCUCAUUGCACAUAUUUUCAAAUUCUUUUUGGCUCGUAACCAUUUUUACUUGAGAGUUUCUAUAUGUUAGUCUAGUAGUUUUAGUACAUUCCAGAGGAACUUGUGCUCCGCAUCCUUUUCGGAAUCUUGCUUGGAAUGAAUGUAUUUAUCACAAACUGGUCCUAGAAGAGGGAGAUAUCAUCGGAAAUUCCCGAACUUCCUCGGAUUUAUUUUUUCAGAAUGUGAAUGUUUUCGAAUUUUUAGAUCCUCUUAUGCAUAAAAUAGGAGGACACCAAAACCCUGGAUGAAUCGAGUUGUUCUAUAUGGUUGUGUCAUUGGUGACGUAAAGGAAAAACAUAAAUACAAAUUGGACCUCAUAUGGAUUAUGACUAAUCCCAAUUGGCAAGAGAAUUUAGACAUGACUGGCUUUUAAGGGUGUAUAAACACCUCAAUUUUUUCUUCUAUAUGCAUAAGGUUAGACCGAUUUGUAUUGUUUUACAUUCUUGCAUUUGAGAUUUGAAAUUACGGAAUUUUGAUGAAGAAGGGGUUCGCGGUUGGCUAAAAACAACCCGUGAUGACAUCCACGCGAAUAGAGUGAUCGAGCACUUUUCUUGGACAAUCACAUUAAUUAGAAUUGAAUUUUUUAGAUUAUACAUUUAAUAGGGUAAGGUUUAGUCGAUAGUUAGAUUAGAAUCCUAAUUUAAUAAACCCAAUAUUAUUUAGUCUAUACGCUAUUUUCUAUGGAGAAAUACAACUAACUUUGAGAAAAUAUGUUCACAUAUAAAAACAAAGGAAUCUAAAUUAUGGGUAUAACCCAAACAUGAAACUAAGAUGUGAACUAACUUAAGAGUAACGCAAAAUCAUUUGAUUUUCCGGAAAAGGCUGGUUAGAAUGCUUUUUAAAGUCAAUAAUAACUUUUGUCCCAAAAGAAAAUAUCAUCUUUUUUCAGCAAUGCUAGGACAAAAAUAAAUAAAAGUCAAUUAUAAUAACAUUUGGAACUUCUUAAAAUUAAACACAGUGAUACACGAAUAUAUAAUAUGGUUUGACUGUGCAUAUAUCUAUUAUAUACUUUGAAACAGAGUAUUAUUCUUCAUGUUUAAACGCCAAUUACAUUUAAACUGAUAUUUCAAGGGCAGCAUAUUCAUAUCAUAAUUAUUAAUAUGUGGAUUAUAAAUUGAACUUCGUAUUAAGAAUAAAAACUAUGUAUCAAUUUUUUCUUACGAAGAUUUUAUUUUGUAACCGCAAUAAUAUUUUAAAUAUAUAUGCUGUAUUCUAAUAUAAACAAAUACCGAAAUUAUUUUGUAGUUAUCGUUCUUUUGAAUUGCUCUGUCCAACUAGAAAAACAUCUCCAAAUUAAAAAAAUUAUUUUACUGCUACAAAACAUUACUACAUUGAUAUAUAAAUGCAACAUACUAUUAUAUGCUGAUAUUGUAGUAUCUUUUAUCAAGUUAAAAGUUUGAUUAUCAAAGGCUAAACAAAGCAUCGGUACGUUCAACUACACUAGAAUUUUGGUGAAGUAUCAAAUUAUAUUUUGAUACUUUAAGCUUGACUUCAUAUUGAUUUUUUUUUGUCGAAAGACUUCAUAUUGAUUGGAAAGUAAAAUUUAAAGGAAAUACUUGUAAAUAUAUUUGUAAGAUGGAUCUCCUCCUUUCUCACUCUUGUAAAUAUUGAUUGUAAAUAUAAUUGUAUUUUAAUACAGUUGAAAAAUACUUAAUCAUAUAUUUGUAAGCUCGGGAUUAAGAUUUGUUUGUAUUGAACCUCAUUUUUCAAAAAAAGACUAAACUCAUGCGGAAUAUUCGAAUCCAAAAAUAGAAGUAAAAAAAUAUUUGAAUACAUAAGACAUUGACUAUGAAACGUCGUUCAUUUAAUUUAACUGUAUUAAACAAAACACAAACUUACAACAAAAACAGAAAAGCGUUUACAAAGAAGUAUAUAAAUAACGUCUCUCACUUAAACAAAAGAUUGAAACAUUAAACCUUAAACUUGCAUACAUGCAUGUAAUUAUUAAUAUUGUAAUUAUUUUGAAGAGGAAAAUGUGUGUGCACGUCCUAUGCAUAAUCGAUACCGCUCAAGCACAUUGAAAACCAGACGGAAGCCUUCUGUUACAAACGUUGAGAAGAACGCUGAGAGAUAUGGGAACGUUAAGGUUGAUGCCAAGAACGUUAGCCCUAAGAGCAGUGCAGAGACAAAUCGCAGCGUCGAGGUCAACCAAACCUUGGAUGAGAGAGCAGCAUGGCUGAGCUGAUGGCUGUCCCAACUGCACGUUAAGUAGACCGCUUAGGACAUUCGCACAUACACCGAGUCUGAGAGCAUCGAUGGGACAGUUUCUCGAUGAGCCAGGGGUGCUCGGAGGUGUGACGGGAGUUGGUACGGAAGGAUUUGGGACCGAAGGAGUUGGGACCGAAGGAGUUGGAACCGAAGGACUUGGGACGGAAGGAGUUGGAACCGAAGGAAUUGGGACGGAAGGAGUUGGAACUGAAGGACUUGGGACCGGCCUAGGCUUAGGACUUGGGAUCGGCUUGUGCUUAGGACUUGGGUUGCAUCUACAAUCAGUAGCAGCGGUUAAGGUGAAAAAAAGGAUGUUGAGGGCAAAGAAAAGAGCAAGAGAGGCUGAGUUCUUUGAAGCCAUUGUUAUUGAGUGUGUUUGAGAGAGAGAUGAAAUAAAAUGAAGAGAGGGUGUGGGUAUUUAUAGGAUUUUAGAAGGAUGUGAAGAUCAUUUAAACUAGUUUGAAAAAUACAAUUAGUUUUAAGUAUAUAAUAAAAAUAUAUAAUUUUUGUUUUGAUAUAAAAUGAAAACAUAUAAAAUUAUUUAUAUAUAUACGAUAAAAGAUAAAAUUUGAGGAUCACAUUAUGAACAAAAAAUUUGAGUAGAAAAUGGAGUACCAUUGAAAUAGUCUCAAAACCGGUCGUAAUUAACAACCCAAUAAUUACAAAUCCUGGUUGAAUUUUAAAUUGCUAGCUAUACACAGUGUUCACUCGAUCGAUAGUUAGAUUAGUUUCCUACUUUGAUAAACUGAUACUUAAAACCAAACUGAUUAUACGUAGUUAGCUGUUCGAUCAUAAAUAUAACUAACUUUGAGAAAAUAUGUCAUGGGGAACUAAGAUGUGAACAUACUCAUCAAAAUUUAGUGUAACGCAAAAUCAUUUGAUUUUCCGGAAAAUUAAACGCUGGUUCAGUGUAUCUUAAAGUCAAUAGUAAUAUUUUGUCCUGAAAGAAAAUCUCAUCUUUUUUAGCAAUGCUAGGACAAAAAGAAAAAAAGAUAGACCAAUAUUUGCACUGCAAAAACAUAAUUGUUUCAGCAAUGCGAAGACCAAACAAAAUAAGUCAAUUAAGACAAUAACAUUUGGAUUCUUUAAAAGAGAUGAAGAACAAGAAAAACUAACACGGUGAUAUGGACACAUUAAUACUUUAAUAUAAAUGGAAAAAGUCAUACAAAAAUAAUAAUAAGGUUUAACUAGGUAGCUAUUAUCUUUCCACCACGGUCAUACGUGACAUCGUCGAAAUUUUGAGUUAGUCGUAUAUUCAUUUCAUAACUAUUAGAUAUUGGAUUGGAGGUAUAUUACUAUAGUAUUCGAUGUAUCACACUUUUUAAUCAUGUUUGUUUAUGGUAUCCCGAUACUGAAUGUAAAUUUAGAGUUAAGGUUUAAUAUUCAAAUGUUCGUAUUAAAAAUAAAGUUGUAAAUUAAAAAAUAGUUAAUAAAUUUCAAAGUAGAAAAAAGCCUAAAACCAAAUGAAAAAAAAAAAGCCUUUGAGCGGCUUCUCUCACAGAACUUGAAAAUUCUAGCCGCCGACUAAAUUUUUUACUAGUUUUUCUUUUCGGCUUGUGCGUGUAUCACUUACGGUUCUUCGUUUCGUGGUUAGUGUCUCUUUCCGGUGGCGAUAAAAGUGACUAGAGUUUGCAAUACGGAGAUGCGAGAGUGAGUCACGACGGCAACAUUUGUUCCUCGGCUUGUUGAGUCACUUUGGGAGUUUUUGGUCUUUCCAAAUUUGUGAGGACUGGAUCGGGGGCUUGUGUCACCACAUAUGUAAAUUUACUUCUGUACAUAGAACUUUUUUUUUUUUUUGGUUUAAUUUUUAUACAUAGAACUUAGUGUAGCUAACAUUUACAUUAUCACGAAUCAUAUACAUUCCGAACAUAUAUUACCCUCCAUUCGUAUGCAUAUUAAUUAAAAAGAAUUAGAAAUAGACGUCCAAACAUAUUUCAUUAAACAGGUUGAAAAUUGAUAAAUAAAUUGCUACAAAAGUAUUCGAUAUUUUGUUGAGUUUUUAAAUACUUUAACUGGUUAAGAUCUAUAUAUAAUAAUAUUUGAGAAGUGUUUUUGCUGACGUGUCGGACUCUCGGCUCUUGUUGAGUCAUUGAUUUUACGUAAUUACUUAAUUAUCCUUAAUGAAAUCUAAUUAAUUUUGGAAAAAUUAAAUUGAAUUUCGGAAUUAACCAGGAAAAAAUAAUUUUUGAAACAAUAAACAUGAUAAUUAACCAAAAAAAAAAAAAGGAACAACGAAGUACGAGUUAGGAAGCUUUAAUUGAAUUCAUCGUGUUCUUCGUCGUGUGAAUAUAAUUCUUCUAAACGAAGGCAAAACUUGAAAUCCUAACAUAAAGCAUAUAUUCAUAGCAAUAACAGAGAUCUAAUAAUUUAGUGAUAGAAUUUCACCUGUUGAUCUGUCGAAGCAGAAUAGUCAAGCUUCUCAUAGUAUCUUGCCCAUGUUAUGUCUUUAAGACGUCAAUACUAUCCUGCACCCUAUAAUUCUAACCAAUGAAAAGAACAAAUAUUUAUUACCUUGGAUACAGAGUUGACGAAGAAACCUUGGAUAAAAACUCGACGAAGAAACUUGUAAGUGUUAAUGUAUGAUGAAGCUUCCAUGAACGUGAAGUCGUGAUCAUAAUGAAGAAACGUGUGAAUGGAGACGGUUGAUGGUUUUUUUUUUUUUUUUUUUUUUUUUUUACCUUUUGUGUAAACAGAUCUGUUUCAUAAUUUAUCGGAAAAGGAAUUAUACCAAAAAAAAAAAAUCGGAAAAGGAAAAUAUUUAUUAUAAUAUUGAUAUAUUUAAGAUGAUAAUGUCAAAUAUCCGAAAAUUAUUAAUCGGAGCAUUAAUAUAAACAUAAAAGAAUACUAUUCUAACCUUACUCAAAUUAAUAAGAUUUAGAUAUCCGAAAUUAAUCGUAAACGGCUAUUAAUUGUUAAACUAAUUAAAAUAAAGAUCAAACGUACCGGAAUAGAUGAAAUUUUUGGUAUGAUCGUCGUGUUCGUCGUCGUCGUUUCAAUCUAAAUAUUUGGAAAAAAAAACGAACAAAAAAAAUAAUAUGUAGAUCAAUGAAAGAGAACCCACCAAUUUAGAAACGGUUAUCACGCCAUCGUAUUGUUCGUCGGAUGAUUAUAAGUCUCUAAUCCGGAGAUUGACUUGAACCCUGACAAAAACAUAUAUUCAUAGCAUAAAAUCGUAAAUAGAAGGUAGAAGACCACCUAUUAAUCGGUUGUAACCUUGUGCAAACUCGAUUUAAUUUUGACGAAUGAAAUGUUGGUGUGGUGUCAAAACUUUCUUGGGGAGACUCGAAGAUGAGAGAACUGAAGUCAGAGAUAGGCAGAGAGGUUUACAUGUGAAUUAAGGUAUGGAGUGCUAACGUGAACAUGAACGUGAACGGUGGUGAUUUUUGCACAUAAUAGCAAUUAGAUCGAGUUUUGGAAAAAAAUAUGGAUCAGCGUGACAUGACGCAUAUGGAUACCAUGCAUGUCUAUCUAUUGUAAAUCAAAAAUUAUAUUAUUGUUCCGCCUUAUUUUUGAAACAGAAAGGAAUUUUCCUUAAAUUUUAAUAUAUUUUAUAAGAUAGUAUCAGAUAUAGUAGUAAAUCUAAAAUAGUUGUUAUUAUUCUAUAUUUUUACCGAAAAAAGUAAAUAUUAUUUUAAAUAAACAUGGAUAACAAUGAAUAAAUGGCAGUUUUACAAAUAUUUAUUAUUAUGAUAGUGAUUUGCUUAUUAAAAUAUGUAAAUUUUCUUUUCUUUUUUUGUAUUUAUCGUCGAAAAAUUUAGAAACUCUAAAUCAUGCACCGCCUCCUAUUCAAUAUAAAUACCUUGCUCAUGGUAUUCAAUUUCAGAUCAUAACUAACCUUUGUUUUUUUGUUCUUUUUUUUCAAACUUUUUUUUGCUUCUACCUAAUUUUAAUUUUUCUUUUUAUUGUAGGGUGGAUGUAUGGAGGGGACGAUGUGAACUGGUGUAUGGAAAAUUUGGACCUAAUUCAAUGAAUAAACAGGUGAUCUUAUAGUUUAUAUGUACAAAUUUGAUUUUUUUUUUUUUGUAUUUAUGGUUUCACUAUUUUCACCACUAAUCAAUUUUUAUAAUCAAAAAGUUUGGUUUCAACUUUUGAGAAGGUAAUCAUCGAUGGUUUGGUAUGUUUCUUUUUGUUGUAAAAAGAUGAGGUACCUCCCGAUUUUGUUGAGGUACAUGUUCUUAUUAUUUUCAAAUAUGUCUUUUCUCAGAAGAAACACUCAACUUUUGAUAACACAGUUGUCACAAAGUCAGAAAGAUGACUUAUUUCAGGGAUGAAUCUUCAGAGGAGGCUAAUUUUUGUCGUUAAUACAAUUUAAGUAUUCCUCUCUUUAGAUUAGGGAUAACAAACUUGGCUGUUAAAUUCAGGAAUUACUCUUCGUUGCCAAUCUCUCUCCCCAAACUAAUAUAUUACAUAUAUGGAAGUAGUAACUUAAAGUUUUUGGUAUCGAGGUCAUUCUAAGGCACUGAGAUUCGGACUUUGGUAUGUAUAGGAUUCGUUUUCCAUGCACUAAGAUUUAAUUAUUGUUUAAUUUAUUGGUUUUUAGGUUUCUUUCCAUGCUCUGAUGCGUUUUCGGGUGUGCCAAUGGAAGCUUGCAUCACUUUUUACUCCAAGCGUAAGUAUGCUCUGCAUUAGCUUCUUCUGUUCCAUUGGUUAUUAUAGGUUUUGACUUUUGAGAAAUAUACAACAAUUUAAAACCAGGUUUUGUUGUUGAUUGGUUCGGUUUGUAUACCAUAUUUUGCUAAAUACAUAUGACCAUAAAUAAGACCAAAGGAGCUGGGUUAGCUCCUUUGCCAGCUAGGUUGACUUCGUCUCCUCCCCGUCUUGCGGAUUUCCGUUAUUCAACGGGUAUAUUUGAGAAGUAUACGGUACUAAAACCACAACCAUUGAUCUUAGCUUGAUCGGUUCUUCCCUAGGAUUUAUACAUAAAAGUAAAUUGUUUUGUUUAAUAAUUUUCCAUUGCAUGAACUUUCGAGACAACAAGUGGACAGGAGUGUAAUGUCAUCAAAAGUCAAAUCAAACACUGUGAGGAACAUAUUAGACAACGUUGGCUUCUUUCGCAGUUGCUCAACGUUGUCUCUCCCGAUGGUCCCAACACUCUUGGGACACUGUGGGCCACUCUACUUAUUCGAAGACGNNNNNNNNNNNNNNNNNNNNNNNNNNNNNNNNNNNNNNNNNNNNNNNNNNNNNNNNNNNNNNNNNNNNNNNNNNNNNNNNNNNNNNNNNNNNNNNNNNNNAAUUUUACAAGCUAUUUUAUAAGGUUUUACAAGUUUUUUAUAAGGUUUUACAAGUUAUAAAUACCUUAUAAAACCUUAUAAGUACCUUGUAAAACCUUUUAAAAUACAUUGUAAAACCUUACAAAACACUUGUAAAUACUCCGUAAAACCUUUAAAAUACCUUGUAAAUUUUUCCCGCCAAAAAUUUUCCCGCCAAAAAAAUUUCGGCAAAAAAAUUGCGGAAUCACUUUUCCCGCAAAAAAAAAUUUUUGGCGGGAAAAUUUUUUGGCGGGAAAAAUUUUUACGGAAAAAUUUUACAAGGUAUUUUAAAGGUUUUUACAAGUGUUUUGGCGGGAAAAUUGCGGGAUCACUUUUCCCGCCAAAAAAUAUUUUGUAUUUUGUGGACCUAAUUUUGUUUCAAAUAAGGGUAAAAUGGUCAUUAAAAAUUAAAAGAGGACAAACUUAAAAAUGGACUCUCAAAAGGGGCAUUUUUGAAAAGGGGUAUUGAAAAAGGGGCAUUUUUAACAAUUUCUCUAAAAAAAAUUAUUUUCUUAAUUUGUUUUAUUUUGUUUAAUUUUAAGUUGAAUUUCUUAUUUCUAUUUAAAUGUAAUCUUACAUGGCACAAUUUCAUUGGCUAAAUUUAGAGGAGGUGAAUGAAGAGGUUCACCCCUAGGAGUGAACCCAAGAAUUGUUUUUUAAGUAACCAUUGUCUUUCCUAUUAUUGAGUUGCUUAUUAUUUCCAGUUUUGCGUAAUUUGGAAAUAUAUAUUUAACUGAUUACAUAAGCUUGGAUUUGGUUUGGCCGGUUCUAAUUCCACAUUGGGUUUUAGUUUUGUUUAUGAUUUAGCAAUUAUCAAAGUACGAUCUUUACCCAAUCUUGCUUUUUUGUUGUGUAAGAGAAUUUCAAAGCAAUUAAUUUGCAAGGUUUAUAAAUAUGAAUAAUAAUAAUAGGGUUACAAUAUCAUGAAAUCUAAAUGAAAAUAAAUAAAAACAGAAUUAGCGAAGCAACUAUAUUGAUGAGCUACGUAAUAACCUAAAUAAAUAAUUGAUAAUAUAUUAACAAUAAGAAAUAAUUGAUACAUGAUAAAAGUUAAGCAUCAGAACUGGAGACUGGAGGGUGCAAUCCGUGUUAGUCUUCUGUGAAACAGUCACAUAUAGCUACCAAGAUUAGUAUGAGAAGCAAACUCACGGUAACAAUUGUUCCGAUGAAUUCAAUUGGACUAACAACCAUAUUGUUUCUUCAACACACCAAAACUUGUCUUCUCUAACUUUUUUUUGUGUCUUCUUUUUUUUUAGCAAGGAUAUUUUGUAUAAGAUGAGUAAUAUAUUAAUAGAGUAUAUAUACAUGUUCUAAUUGCCUUAUAUCCACAACUUGGCGAUCAAAAUUAACAUAACGAAAAAGUUAACAUAACAAAAUCGAAAAACAAAGAGAAAGAAUUAAGUUAACAUUAAAAAAAAGGAAAUUUAAGUGAGUGGGGUAGUUUUUAAGUUUAUAUGUAAGAGAUUGGGUAGUUUAGAUUAGGGUUUAGGAAAAGGGUGGUUUCUACUGUUGGGUGUUCGAUUAUAUCCCUGACCAACUCGAUUAUUUAGGAAAAGGUUGACUGGUCAUGAGUAUAAUAUUUCCAGUUUUAGGUAAAUUAUUUUAUUUAUUUGUUCAAAAAAAAAAGUUAAAUUAUUUUAUUUCGUUUUUCUUUAAUUAAAAAUACGAAAAGUGUACAAAAACAAAAAGAUGUAAAUUGAACCCAAUGCUCAUUGGCUAUUUAAACGGGGUAAAACCAGAUUUUUGUUUUUAAGGUUUUUUGGUUUUUGAUUUUAGUUUCGUUUUUUUUUUUUUUUUUAAUUAUUAGACGUUUUUUCAAUUUUCUAUUUUAAUUUUUAGUUUCUGUUUUGUUUUUAAAAUUUAUUAAAUCAAUUAUAAUUAAAAAGUUAAAAAAAUUACAAAUGCUCAAAAAAUAUGUCACGUAAAUUUGUUGGAGGAAACCCAGAGAAUUUAGUUUUUGGAUUAUGUGAACAAAUUACCAAAAUCUAUUAAAUUUCAUAUUCCUUAUUUUUAAAAUUUACUUUUGUCAUCCUCGUUAAUGGCAGUAAAUUAGUUUUUGUAAAAUCAAAAAUUCAAAACAACUUCAAAAUCUGCAGGCAUUCAAAACAACUUCAAAAUUUGAAGGAUCACAUUAUAAACAAAAAAAAUUCCACUCCAAAAUGAAAGAAAUUGUAUUACCCAAAAUUGUUCAGUACCCCAGAUUGUUCACCACUAUAUUAAAAAUGGUUGUCCUUUAUAAUGAGUAUUGAGUAGGAAGUGGAGUACCAUUGAAACUACACUCAAAACCGGUCGUAAUUAACAACCCAAUAAUUACAAAUCCUGGUUGAAUUUUAAAUUGCUAUGCUAGCUAUACACAGGGUUCACUCGACCGAUAGUUAAUUAAGCUGAUAGCUUAAAACCAAACUGAUUAUAUUUAGCUUAUACUGUUCUAUCAAAAAUGUAAGUAACUUUGAGAAAAUAUGUCAUGAGCAUAACCCACAACAUGAAACUACACUUUUCACAAAAAAAAAACAUGAAACUACACUUUUCACAAAAAAAAAAAAAAAACAUGAAACUAGAUGUGAACAUAUUCGAAAUUUGGAAUCACGCAAUAUCAUUUGAUUUUCCGGAAAAUGCUUGUUUAGUGUUUUCCUAAAGUCAAUAGUAAUAUUUUUGUCCCGAAAGAAAAAUCUCAUCAUUUUUAGCAAUGCUAGGACAAAACGAAAAAAAAGAUAGAUCUAAUAUUUGCACCGAAAGAAAAUAUCAUCGUAAACAAUGCAAAGACAAAAAAAAAAGUCAAUUAAGAAAAUAUAUAACACUUGGAUUCUUUAAAAGAAAUUAAGAACAAGAAAAACUAACACGGUGAUAUGGACACAUUUAAUAAUUUAAUAUAUGGUUUUAAAGAAAAUCAUACAAAAAAAUUAGAUUUCAAGUGGUUAUCUUUCCACCACGGCAGUACGGGGGAUCGUCGGAAUUAUUAGGUAUGAAUGUAAAUUUUGAGUUAAGGUCAGAUGUUCGUAUUAAAAAUAAAUUUCAAAGUUGUGACUUUAAGUUUCUACUUGUAUAUUAUAUUCAGUUGUUGGAUGAAAUAUAAAUUAGCUAUAUUUUACUGCAAAUAAAUAAAGUUUCUUGUUAAAGCUAGCAAAUAAAUACAUUUUUUUGUGAGGCCAAAUUCCUCUAAAACAUUUUUCUUUAAAUGUUUAAAAAUAUAUAAAGGGGAAAUAUAUUUUCUAGUGCUUUUGGUAAAUAAUGCAUCUAAGGGAUAGAUACUUGCUCUCUGUAAUCCUCUCAUUUUUAGUACCUAUCUUCAGUGUUUACUUUGCUAAGAGCUUCUUGAUAGGCAUACAUCUUUGCAAUCUCAGAUCAAUAUACUACAAAUACAUAUACGAUACAGUUAAGAAAAUGAUAUUUCUCUUACAACUUUUUAUAUGGGUUUUAUAAACAAGAGAUCAACUGAAGGGUUACGCAGCGACCAAUGGCGAAGGUAGAGACAAAGAUACUACAAUAGGGACGAUAAAUAUGACACGAUAUAUACAAAAGAGAUGCCUGUUUCUAUACCAUUGAAAUUUUACGUACAUAACUACUUCAAAGAGCAAGAUGACUUACUUCAUAGGUAAGAGAUAUGGUAAGAGAUUAUAUUUUUCAAUUAUUUGUUUCCAACUACGAAAAACUCCAGUGACAUACAAUCUAAAAGCAUGAAUAUGUCAUAAAAUCAAGAAUACAACAAAAACCAGGAAGAUGGGCCCAAAUUAAAGUCCGAAACUGGACGUGGGGAACCCACAGACAGUGGCGGUCGGAGCAUUACAAAUAUGAAAGAAACGAGGAAGCGUGAAUAUGUCAUAAAACCAAGAGUACUACAGAACCAAGAAGAUGUGCUCAAAGAACGAAACUGGACGUGGGAACCCACAGACAGUGGCGGUCGUGGCAUUACAAAUAUGAAAGAAACGAGUAAGCAUGAAUAUGUCAUAAAAUCAAGAGUACGACAAAACAAAGAAGAUGGGCCUAAAGACCGAAACUGGACGUGGGGAGCCCACGGACAGUGGCGGUCGGGGCGUUGCUAAUAUGAAAGAAACGAGUAAGCAUGAAUAUGUCAUAAAAUCAAGAGUACGACAAAACAAAGAAGAUGGGCCUAAAGACCGAGACUGGACGUGGGAACCCAUGGACAGUGGCGGUCGGGGCGUUGCUAAUAUAUUGUUGGUUUAAAUAUAUAGAUUUUUUAUAUUUAAUUCUAUUAUAUAUAUCAAGAUAUAAACACUAAUAAUUGUUUGUGAUUCAAAAACACUAUUAAUUGUUGAUUACUAAUAAUAUAUAUCAAAAGUUAUAGCGUUUUACCAUAAUUCUAUAUUAAUGUCGUUAUAAAAAUUAGACUCUUGACAAAAUUAAUUCAAUAAAUAUCCCUAACUUGAUAACCCUAAAUAUUAAUUAUUAAUUCUGGUCUUAAUCAACAUACAACCCCGCGCUGGGCGCGGGGACCUCCCCUAGUUACAUUUAAAUAGAAAUAAGAAAUUCAACUUAAAACUAAACAAAUUAAGAAAAUAAUUUUUUAAUCUUUUUGUUGAGAUCGACGUCUUCUCGCCGUUGACGUCUUCCCCUCUUUUUCUUUCUUUCUUUUUGUUUUUUUUAUAUUUUUUACCAAGAGAUUUAGAUUAGGGUUUAGGUGUUCUGCAAACAUCUAACGGAUUGAAAUUAAGAUUUCAUAAACGUGUGAGAGCUUGUGAGUGUUUACAAGUCUCGGAUUGAGUUUACCGGUUGUGAUUGGUUAAACUUCAAACUCAUAUUGUGACGAGAGUUUGCGAGCCUCGCGAGCUGUUUAUUAUUUGAACAAAUAAACUUCAAUCAAAUAAACUUCAAUCGAAUUUCAAUCAAGACUUAUUGUCUUUUGGUCCUAAUAUCCUGCAAAUCAAAUAGAUUAAUCUUCUAGUUUUGUGUCUCGAUAUCUCUACAAGGUGAGAGUUUAGAGACUUGUUGUCUCUUGUUUUCAAAUUUCUGAAAAUUGAAAUAGUUAAACGGGACCUGCACUGUUGGUUUGUAUUUCUGGUUUUGCAAAACCUGCAACUUCUAGUUUGAUCUCAGACUUGGACAGUAUUAACGUUGCGAGCAAGUUGUGUUUUGGUUUAGAUUUCUUAGCAGAUCGAAAUUGAUGAUGGAGUAACGGCGAGAAGACGUCAACGACGUUAACAAAAAGAUUAAAAAAAAGGGAGACUCACAAAAAUGCCCCUUUUUCAAUAUCCCUUUUCAAAAAUGCCCCUUUUAGAUGUCUAUUUUUAAAAAUACCCCUUUUAUGUACAAAAUGACUAAAUUACCCUUCUUUUAAUAAAAGAUAUCAUAAAUAUAUAAGGAAAUAUAACAAAAUUAGGUCCACAAAAUACAAAAUAUUUUUUGGCGGGAAAAGGUGAUCCCCCAAUUUUUCCCGCCAAAACACUUGUAAAAAUUUGUAAAACCUUUAAAAUACCUUGUAAAAUUUUCCCGUAAAAUUUUUUCCCGCCAAAAUUUUUCCCCCCCAAAUUUUUUUUCCCGGAAAAAUUAUUCCCCAAAUUUUUUGUCUUUAAUUUUGGGGGAAAUUUUUGGCGGGAAAAUUUACAAGGUAUUUUAAAGGGUUUUUACAGGGUAUUUAUAAGGUUUUACAAUGUAUUUUAAAAGGUUUUACAACGUAUUUAUAAAGUAUUUAUAAGAUAUUAUAAAAUUUUACAAGCUAUUUUAUAAGGUUUUACAAGUUUUUUAUAAGGUUUUACAAGUUAUAAAUACCUUAUAAAACCUUAUAAGUACCUUGUAAACCUUCUAAAUACAUUGUAAACCUUACAAAACACUUGUAAAUACUCCGUAGAACCUUUAAAAUACCUUGUAAAUAUUACCCGCCAAAAAUUUUCCCGCCAAAAAAAUUUCGGCAAAAAAAUUGCGGAAUCACUUUUCCCGCAAAAAAAAAUUUUUGUGCGGGAAAAUUUUUUGGCGGGAAAAAUUUUUACGGAAAAAUUUACAAGGUAUAUUAAAGGUCUUGACAAGUGUAGUGGCGGGAAAAUUGCGGGAUCAUUUUUCCCGCCAAAAAAUAUUUUGUAUUUUGUGGACCUAAUUUUGUUUCAAAUAAGGGUAAAAUGGUCAUUAAAAAUUAAAAGAGGACAAACUUAAAAAUGGACUCUCAAAAGGGGCAUUUUUGAAAAGGGGUAUUGAAAAAGGGGCAUUUUUAACAAUUUCUCUAAAAAAAAUUAUUUUCUUAAUUUGUUUUAUUUUGUUUAAUUUUAAGUUGAAUUUCUUAUUUCUAUUUAAAUGUAAUCUUACAUGGCACAAUUUCAUUGGCUAAAUUUAGAGGAGGUGAAUGAAGAGGUUCACCCCUAGGAGUGAACCCAAGAAUUGUUUUUUAAGUAACCAUUGUCUUUCCUAUUAUUGAGUUGCUUAUUAUUUCCAGUUUUGCGUAAUUUGGAAAUAUAUAUUUAACUGAUUACAUAAGCUUGGAUUUGGUUUGGCCGGUUCUAAUUCCACAUUGGGUUUUAGUUUUGUUUAUGAUUUAGCAAUUAUCAAAGUACGAUCUUUACCCAAUCUUGCUUUUUUGUUGUGUAAGAGAAUUUCAAAGCAAUUAAUUUGCAAGGUUUAUAAAUAUGAAUAAUAAUAAUAGGGUUACAAUAUCAUGAAAUCUAAAUGAAAAUAAAUAAAAACAGAAUUAGCGAAGCAACUAUAUUGAUGAGCUACGUAAUAACCUAAAUAAAUAAUUGAUAAUAUAUUAACAAUAAGAAAUAAUUGAUACAUGAUAAAAGUUAAGCAUCAGAACUGGAGACUGGAGGGUGCAAUCCGUGUUAGUCUUCUGUGAAACAGUCACAUAUAGCUACCAAGAUUAGUAUGAGAAGCAAACUCACGGUAACAAUUGUUCCGAUGAAUUCAAUUGGACUAACAACCAUAUUGUUUCUUCAACACACCAAAACUUGUCUUCUCUAACUUUUUUUUGUGUCUUCUUUUUUUUUAGCAAGGAUAUUUUGUAUAAGAUGAGUAAUAUAUUAAUAGAGUAUAUAUACAUGUUCUAAUUGCCUUAUAUCCACAACUUGGCGAUCAAAAUUAACAUAACGAAAAAGUUAACAUAACAAAAUCGAAAAACAAAGAGAAAGAAUUAAGUUAACAUUAAAAAAAAGGAAAUUUAAGUGAGUGGGGUAGUUUUUAAGUUUAUAUGUAAGAGAUUGGGUAGUUUAGAUUAGGGUUUAGGAAAAGGGUGGUUUCUACUGUUGGGUGUUCGAUUAUAUCCCUGACCAACUCGAUUAUUUAGGAAAAGGUUGACUGGUCAUGAGUAUAAUAUUUCCAGUUUUAGGUAAAUUAUUUUAUUUAUUUGUUCAAAAAAAAAAGUUAAAUUAUUUUAUUUCGUUUUUCUUUAAUUAAAAAUACGAAAAGUGUACAAAAACAAAAAGAUGUAAAUUGAACCCAAUGCUCAUUGGCUAUUUAAACGGGGUAAAACCAGAUUUUUGUUUUUAAGGUUUUUUGGUUUUUGAUUUUAGUUUCGUUUUUUUUUUUUUUUUUAAUUAUUAGACGUUUUUUCAAUUUUCUAUUUUAAUUUUUAGUUUCUGUUUUGUUUUUAAAAUUUAUUAAAUCAAUUAUAAUUAAAAAGUUAAAAAAAUUACAAAUGCUCAAAAAAUAUGUCACGUAAAUUUGUUGGAGGAAACCCAGAGAAUUUAGUUUUUGGAUUAUGUGAACAAAUUACCAAAAUCUAUUAAAUUUCAUAUUCCUUAUUUUUAAAAUUUACUUUUGUCAUCCUCGUUAAUGGCAGUAAAUUAGUUUUUGUAAAAUCAAAAAUUCAAAACAACUUCAAAAUCUGCAGGCAUUCAAAACAACUUCAAAAUUUGAAGGAUCACAUUAUAAACAAAAAAAAUUCCACUCCAAAAUGAAAGAAAUUGUAUUACCCAAAAUUGUUCAGUACCCCAGAUUGUUCACCACUAUAUUAAAAAUGGUUGUCCUUUAUAAUGAGUAUUGAGUAGGAAGUGGAGUACCAUUGAAACUACACUCAAAACCGGUCGUAAUUAACAACCCAAUAAUUACAAAUCCUGGUUGAAUUUUAAAUUGCUAUGCUAGCUAUACACAGGGUUCACUCGACCGAUAGUUAAUUAAGCUGAUAGCUUAAAACCAAACUGAUUAUAUUUAGCUUAUACUGUUCUAUCAAAAAUGUAAGUAACUUUGAGAAAAUAUGUCAUGAGCAUAACCCACAACAUGAAACUACACUUUUCACAAAAAAAAAACAUGAAACUACACUUUUCACAAAAAAAAAAAAAAAACAUGAAACUAGAUGUGAACAUAUUCGAAAUUUGGAAUCACGCAAUAUCAUUUGAUUUUCCGGAAAAUGCUUGUUUAGUGUUUUCCUAAAGUCAAUAGUAAUAUUUUUGUCCCGAAAGAAAAAUCUCAUCAUUUUUAGCAAUGCUAGGACAAAACGAAAAAAAAGAUAGAUCUAAUAUUUGCACCGAAAGAAAAUAUCAUCGUAAACAAUGCAAAGACAAAAAAAAAAGUCAAUUAAGAAAAUAUAUAACACUUGGAUUCUUUAAAAGAAAUUAAGAACAAGAAAAACUAACACGGUGAUAUGGACACAUUUAAUAAUUUAAUAUAUGGUUUUAAAGAAAAUCAUACAAAAAAAUUAGAUUUCAAGUGGUUAUCUUUCCACCACGGCAGUACGGGGGAUCGUCGGAAUUAUUAGGUAUGAAUGUAAAUUUUGAGUUAAGGUCAGAUGUUCGUAUUAAAAAUAAAUUUCAAAGUUGUGACUUUAAGUUUCUACUUGUAUAUUAUAUUCAGUUGUUGGAUGAAAUAUAAAUUAGCUAUAUUUUACUGCAAAUAAAUAAAGUUUCUUGUUAAAGCUAGCAAAUAAAUACAUUUUUUUGUGAGGCCAAAUUCCUCUAAAACAUUUUUCUUUAAAUGUUUAAAAAUAUAUAAAGGGGAAAUAUAUUUUCUAGUGCUUUUGGUAAAUAAUGCAUCUAUGUUGUUAAGUCGAUUCUUUUAAAUAUAUUUCCUAUUCAUAUCAUCAUUUUAUUGUCUUUGUUAGAGUCAUAUCAUCAUUUUAUCAAAACCAAAAUACUGAAAUCUUGGAAUUCAAUUCUUAUUUAGGUGCGCCUAUCUUCGAUUUUGAACUCCAAGACAUUUUUUUUUUUUUGGCUCCACUCAAAGACGUGUUUGUUGUAGUCCGCUAAGUUUAGAUAUUUAUUUCUAUUAAAUGAACACUUAAAACUAUAUAAUAGUAAUCCAUAUUUCGCUGAUGUUAAAGGAUCGUCAUUUUUGUUUAUUCGCCAUAAGUAUGGGUCGUCUUGUGUAGACGUUACGUUGACUUGACAAUCACAUUUUUUUAAAAAAAGAUUUACGAAAUGUACAUUUUUAUUGACUUUCAUCUUUGGAAGCUUCGUAUUUUUCAUACGGAUUAUAAUUAGUGGUUCCAAUUAAAAGUCAGCCCUACGAUGCCUAGUUAAUCCCAAUCACACAUUUUCAUUGUUUAAAUUUGUAAAGAACUCGUUAAAUGUUUCGCUCGUCAUUAACAACGGAAAAUACGAAAAUCAUUGACAAACAGAAAAUGAAACUUUGGAACUAUUUUUGAUCCAUGAAGAAUUUGAUUUUUUGUCAAUUGAUUAUAAAAAUUAGAAUGGUUUAGAAAUCCAACCCCGAAAAAAAGAAAGUUUACAUAAAGAGUUCUCAUGAAAAACCUUUCUACUUUAUAACAAUCAUCAAUUAAAUAAAUGUUAGUACAUUUGAUCAACCUAAAUCUUUAUGCCAAACUUGUGCUUAGACCCAAAACUCAUCUUUAACACUGCGGUAACACAGCUUAAGCCAUGCAUGUAAUUCAUAAUAUUUUACAACAACCUUACCAACGUAUUAAAAAAAAAAGAACUAACUAAAAUGUUGAGAAAAUGCAACUAAAAAUAAAACGAAUAAAUAAAUAUAAAUUAUUGACACAAUUGCCAAAGAUAAAAAGAAAGUUUACACAAAGAGUUCUUAUGACGAAACUUAUUAUAAACAAAAAAAAAAACCAUCUACUUUAUAACAAUCAUAAACUAAAUAAAAGUUAAUUAGUACAUUUGAUCAACCUAAAUCUUUAUGCCAAACUUGUGAUUAGACCCAAAACUCAUCUUUAACAUUGCAGUAACACAGCUUAAGCCAUAAUAUUUUACAACUACUUAACCAACGUAUUAAGAAAAACGAACUAAGUAACGACACAUGAAUCAGUUAUAUCAACUGAAAUGUUGAGAAAAAACUAAAAUAGACUAAAACAAAAAAUAAAUAUAAAUUACUCAUAUUUUAGAAAAUUAGAGUAACGCAAAAAAAAAAACCAUUGAUAUUUCCACGAGAACAAAACUGGUUUACUCUUACUUAAAGUCAAUAAAACAUUUCUCGUCAAAGACAUACAUAUUUUCAACGAUCCUAGGACCACAAAAUAGUUCAAGCUGACAAUAAAAAAAAAUAUUUCAAACUUCUUCACAAGAAACAAAGAGGACGAAAAAUUAACAAAGUGAAAUGGACACAUAAUAUGCAUAGGGAAGAUGAUUUUAAAAGAGAGGAUGUAAUUUGAUUGGGCAGCUAUUUAAUACUUUUUUCAUAUAGUUUGCACAAACGUCAAUUUGAUUGCCUAAACGUCAAUUUCAUUUUGAUUCUAGAUAUGUCAAAUAGUUUUAUUUCCAACAAGGUUGUAAGUAGUAAUAUGGUCUUUGAAAUAUUUUUAAAUAAGUCUUUUGUAGUUUGCUACAUAUUUGACAUAUAUGGUAUUUUUUAAAUAAAUAAAUAACCAAAUGAGAAUUUUGCGUAUAAUAUAGAUGUAUAUUACAAAAAGAUGUUAUUUAAGUAUUAUUAAAGUUAGCUACUAUAGAUUUUAAGCUUAUUUAUUAGUUUUUUUUUUUUGGGUAGUCAAGUGGUAUUAACACACCUUUUCUUUCCUCUCACUUAGUAAAAAAUAUAACCCACCAAAAAUUGGGUUUGGUGACAUUGAGGAUAUAGCUCGGCAAAUAAACUCUGGUCAAUCGAUCAUUUUGACUAGAUUUAUUUUAUUGCAUAUAUUUCAUAAAUUAAUAAUGUAAUGUUUUCGAUUUGUAAGCUCCGCUUAUGGUCGGUUUACUAUUAACAGUGGUCUCAAAAACUUGUUUCUGAUCUUAUAAAUCAUUACGUGAUUUUUUUCUUUGUUAAGUCUCCACUCAUAUGAUAUCAAAAAUUAUUUUCUGGUAGGUUAUUUAUUCUAAAAUCGCUUCAUCUCAACUAUUUAAAAUUUUUUUAGGAUGAUUGACCGAAAAUAUAAAUGUAUUUUGAUGGUUAGAUAGCCAAUCAAAUUCUUUUAGAUAAUAAUUUUCAUGUACCAUCAUAUUUUCUGAAAUCGAAGUGUUACAAAUAAAACUUUAAAUUUAAAUUAUUAGGUUAUAUAUUGUAACAAUAAUCUUUUUUUUUGGUAGGGGGUACAAUUUAUUAGGUUAUAUAUUGUAACAAUAAUCUCAUAACAUUUCCAAAUACUAUUCAAUAUUUCAUUUACAAGGACUUUUAAUAUGUAUACACGGCAAUAUCAUAAAAUUAUGGUAUUCGAUUUUCAUAUUCAGUUAUCCAAAAUCUUAGAUUUAUUUCUUCUACUCAUUCUUUCUGACUAUAUUUGUUCAUAGAUAUAUCUUUGCAAGGGUGAUCCAAAUUCCCCAGUGGAUCACCACAUACGUAAAUUUAAUUCUGUAUCAUAGAGCUUAAUGUAACUAACAUUUACACAUUGUCACGAGUCAUGCACAAUCCGAACAUAACCCACCAUUCGUAUCAUCGUAUGCAUGGUAAAAUAGAAAAAAAAAAUCCAUAUGCAAGAAUCUGAAAAUAAGACGUUGGUUACAAAACUUAUUUCAUUAAAGAGGUUGAAAAUAGCGAAAUAGAUUGCUACAAAAGUAUACAAAUGGGGAAGACGGGAAAUGUUUAAAAAAAAAAAAACUAUAAACUCUCACAUGUUUAUUAUAUCACUUAAACAAAUUCAGAUUUAAACAUGAAAAUCUAGUUUACAUGCAUUUAUUCAAACGGUAAUGAUUUUAAAGAGAACACUGUGCGCAUGAGUAGUAAGGAUAACUGCUGAUAUCGUAUCGUUCAAGCACAUUGGAAGCCAGACGGAAGCCUUCUGUUACAAACGUUGAGAAGAACGCUAAGAGAUAUAGGAACGUUAAGGUUGAUACCGAGAACGUUAGCCCUAAGAGCAGUGCAGAGGCAAAUCGCAGCAUCGAGGUCAACCAAACCUUGGAUGAGCGAGCAGCAUGGCUGAGCUGAUGGCUGUCCCAACUGCACGUUAAGUAGACCGCUUAGGACAUUCGCACAUACACCGAGUCUGAGAGCAUCGAUAGGACAGUUUCUAGAUGAGCCUGGGGUGCUCGGAGUUGGGACCGAAGGAGUUGGUACGGAAGGAAUUGGGACCCUAGGAGUUGGGACCCUAGGACUGUGCUUAGGACUUGGGUUGCAUUUACAAUCAGUAGCAACGGUUAAGGUGAAAAAAAGGAUGUUGAGGGCAAAGAAAAGAGCAAGAGAGGCUGAGUUCUUUGAAGCCAUUGUUAUUUUUCUUCAGUGUUUUAAGGAUUAUUGAUU